GCAAGUCUGAAUUGAUCUUUUACAAGACUCUGACAGUGCUAAAUAAAUGUUGUUUAGAAGACUAUGGACAUCACAACCACAAAUGUAGACACCUGUAUUAUUAUGUCACUGGAAUUGUUUUCUUGCUUCUAGAUUCGUCUUCGCAAAAUAAUUUUCUAGUACGAUACGUAUCUUGUGUGCAUUUAUUUCUUUCAUAUUGCUUUCUUGUUUACAUAUUGCAACGGGUAUGAGCCGAGAAAGGAGCAGAGGAGGAAGACGUUACAUAUUGCAACGGGUAUGAGCCGAGAGAGGAGCAGAGGAGGAAGACGUGAACUGGUGCAGAUACUGACACCAUUACUACCGAACCAUCAACUUUGCCCUGCUAAUAAACACCCUUGGACUUUAACCGUAACAGUUUUGUGGUGGAGGAGCUGGGGUGUUCGCCCAAAACGACUGAGCCACUGCCGCUAGGUCCUCGCCGAAGCUGACGCCUCGCGCGACUGCCUCCAGCACUACCGGAGCUCACGAUGUCGAACAACGGUGACCUACAGUCAUCUUCAACUCCUCCAGCGCGAACACCCAAUGCCUGGAUGUGUCAGUUGGUGCCACGCCCUUUCUCAGGGAAACCCGGCGAGAACGUGGAAAGAUUGGCUGACACACUACAAACGCGUGAGCAAGUGCAACGGCUGGGAUGCUACGGCUCAGCUAGAGUAUGUUGCUCUCUUUCUGACAGACACUGUUCUUGUGUGGUUCGAGAACCACGAAGAGUCGCUAACAACUUGGGAUCACUUCACUAUCCAACUCACAGAGUGCUUUGGGGAUUCCACUGCGAAAAGAAAGCGAGCCGAGCAGACAUUACUUUAGCGUGCUCAAGUGCCAGGUGAGACUUGUACCACGUACAUUGAGACGAUCCUGAAGCUGUGUAAGAUGGCAAAUCCUCGUAUGUUCGGAGAGGACAAAGUCAGGCAUCUUCUGAAAGGCAUUGCCGAAGACGUGUAUACCUACUUGAUUGGCAAGGAGAGCCUCAAUUCGGUAGCUGACGUGAUUCAUCAUUGCCACACGUUUGAGACCCUGAAGCUACACGGUAUCACGCCAAAGUUCGGCAGAUUGGCGAAUGUUGCGGCGGUUGCAAGCUUUGAGGACAGCUGCAGUGACCAUUGGGACCUUGCUACCACUAUUAGCCAAAUCAUCCGUGAGGAACUCGAGCGACACAGCAAAUCAAUGAACGCUGUGAAAGCCGAGCAGCUCGGUUAGGUUUUCAAUCAUUCUCACGAAGCUGCACCGGUGGUUUCUUCGCUGUCAGCCAUGCCAGGCGUUGCAGACAGUUGAACCGAUAUCCUACAACAGCACCACGAUACGUUUCCUGAUAACGUGACGCAUGACCAACGCGCUUAUCGAGGUACGGCGACAAAUUGGCACUUAGAAAAUUGUAUCUACUACUCGCAGCAUCCGAGGGCGGCUUAUCCCGAAGUCUACAACGUCGGUCGCCCUUCACCUGUUUGCUACAGCUGCAGUCCGACAGGACACAUCUCUUGUUUUUGUCGCCGCGAGACGAGGUAUGGCCCACCACCGACUUGGCCUAACUUUGAACGCGUCAACGAUGGUCAUUGGCCGGCAGAACAUCGCGCAACAAACGCUAUAGGCUCGCUACCCAGGAAUUCCUUCCGCCAUUUUAACAGGAGGAGUGACUUGCCAGCAUCAAACCGCAGCCUGACGUCACCAACCAGUCGCUCACGCCGUUCACCAUUCCCACGGCGACCUUCUACACCACCGCGUCCAUAGGGAAACUAGCCGGCGCGGCCGAUGGAGGUAAGGUCGCCGGCGGGUCUCCAUCUCUGUAAACUGCUCCUCUUCCUAAUAUGAUGUCCCAAAACAAAGUGUGUGUGUUAAUUGAUAGUGUGCCUGCAACUGCGUUAGUGGAUACUGGUGCUACGGUUUCCGUCAUGAGUGCCACAUUCAAGGAAAGACUUGGUCGAAAGGUUAUGUUCCCAUGGAAUGGUGGUGUGACGUUUCGUGGUGUCAGCGGAGAGUGCCUCGUUCCUCUAGGUAUUUGUGUUGCAAGUGUUUUGUUUAGUGCUGAAUAUCUUGUCACGGAAAUUUUGGUAUUACUGCGGUGCACUCAUGAUGUGAUUCUUGGGAUUGACUUUCUUCGGGAUUGUGGUGCUUCCGUUAAUUGUGGCACAGGCAAAAUUACGGUGAAUAACAUGCUUUUGUCUUCGCUUGCUGAGACAUCUUUACCGCAGAAAAACUGUUUCGUCGUGUCGAAUGAUUCUCUUUCAGCGCCGUGGUCUUUAUCAUGUGUUCCGGUUAAUCUUGCUGUUGCCAACCUUUCAUCGUUUGACACGCAAAUUCAACCACUUGCGACGGGUUGCGUGAAGAAAAAUGUACUUGUGCCUCGUUCUCUCGUGACAGUUGUGAAUGGCGCCUCAAGCUUGUGGGCUUUCAAUUGUUCUUCGGUGCCUGCUGUUCUUCCACGUGAUAUGAAGCUUGCCGAGUUCGACGAAAUCACGUACGGGGCUGUCACCCUUUUAAGCAAAGAGCAGCAGUCUGAAACAAGCGAACCCCAGAUAAGCAGUUCUGAAUAAGAGAUCUUAAGAAUGAUCAGCAAGUCGCUACCCUCGCAUGAACGUCACGCUCUUGCACGUGUCCUUGUGACACAUCUUUCUGUGUUCGAUACCACACAAGGUGACACGGAGACAUCACUACCACGUUCUUGUGCUCAUCACAGAAUUGACACCGGAUCUGCGCACUCCGUUCAUCAAAAACCUUACCGCGUGUCGUCGACAGAGAGGGCAGUGAUAGCUGAACAGGUCACCGAUAUGUUGCGAAAAGGUGUUGUCCAAGAGUCAUCUAAUCCGUGGGCAGCGCCUGUGAUCUUAGUAAAAAAGAAGGGUGGAUCAUGGCGCUUUUGCGUAGACUAUAGAAAACUAAAUGCGGUCACCAAAAAAGACGUGUAUCCACUUCCUAGAAUUUAUGACGUCGUUCGUUGCCUGCAUUCCGCUGCCUACUUUUCGUCACUGGAUUAGCGAUCAGGGUAUUAGCAAAUACCCAUGCACUCAAACGACAAAGAGAAAACGGCCUUUGUGACACCUGACGGCCUUUACGAAUUUAAUGUUAUGCCGUUCGGUCUUUGUAAUGCACCGGCAACAUUCGAACGAUAUAUGGACACAAUACUUUGAGGACUUAAAUGGGAAAUUUGUUUGUGCUACCUAGAUCAUGUGGUGAUUUUUGGCAGCAUACUGAACGAGCAUAACAGACGUCUCAGUCUUGUUUUGGAUUGCAUACAAAAGGCCGGCUUGAUCCUAAACUCUAAGAAAUGUUGUUUUGGUGAAACCGAGACAUUAGUACUUGAACAUCUCAUUGACAAAAAUGGAAUAACGCCAGACCCACGAAAAAUCAAGGCCGUCGGCUCUUUCGAACCACCGAUAUCGGUGCGGGAAUUGAGGAGCUUCUUGGGCCUAUGCUCAUAUUUUCGUCGUUUCGUUCGGAGGUUCGCUGACAUGAUGCAUCUCCUAACAUGUCUUCUUCAAAAGGACGUCCCUUUCAACUGGAUUUCAGCUUGCGACGAUGCGUUCCGCCAGCUAAAGUUUCUACUAACGUCGGGGCCCAUACUGCGUCACUUUGAUGCGUCCUUGCCUACGGAAGUACACGCUGAUGUUAGUGGCAUCGGCAUAGGUGCUGUACUUGUGCAGCGUCAUCAAGGAGCUGAGCACGUAGUGACUUAUGCCAGUUGCUCUUUCAACAAAGCUGAAUUCAACUAUACCGUAACAGAACAAGAAUGCUUGGCAGCUGUUUUUGCGGUACACAAAUUUCGACCUUAUAUUUAUGGACGUCCGUUCAUUAUCGUUACCGACCAUCACGCUUUAUGCUGGCUGGUGAAUUUUCGUGACCCGAAUGGUCGACUGGCACGUUGGGCUCUUCGACUUCAGGAGUCGUCAUCUCGUUCAAGUCUGGGCGCCGCCACGCACAUGCUGACUGUCUCUCCCGCCUUCACCUGAAGACGACUGAGUGUCAAGAAGACAGUUUUGACGACUGUUUCACCUCCAUUUCUUCCACAUUCCCAGAUUUAAGUACUUUCAAGAAAGAACAAGAGGCUGAUAUUAGCUUGGAGCCAUUACUUGCCGUGGCAUAGCGUCCUCAAGCCAACGGCUGCUUUUGUGUCCGUGACGGCCUUUUAUACAAGACAAAUUAUUCGGCUAAAGGCGUACGCUUCCCGUGUACUCAGAUUUGGGUGCACGUUAAAGAACCCCAGGUGGUCAAAAAUUUCCGGAGCCCUCCACUACGGCGUCUCUCAUAAUCAAAUGGUGGUUUUGGGACGUUAAACCCCACAAAUCAAUCAAAUCAAAGGCGUACGCUUCCUUCUAGUCGUACCACAGAGCCUACAAUUUGACAUACUGAAGGCCAUGCACGACGAUGCGACAGCUGGUCACUUGGGGUUCAUCAGAACUUUGAAUAGGACACAAGAGCAUUUUUACUGGCUCAGAAUGCGGGACACAGUCAAGCACUAUGUCGCAAGUUGCAAACAAUGUCAACGCUACAAGUGUCCUACGACUCCUUCACCAGGUCUUCCCCAUCCGCUGCCACCUCCUCAUCUAUCAUUUGAUCAAGUUGGUAUCGACCUUUUGGGCCGAUUUCCACGCUCGGCUAACAACAAUCGAUGGGUGAUAGUGUGCGUCGACCAUUUGACUCGUUACGCAGAAACUGCAGCGAUACCAUUCUCGACAGCGGCGUGCGUGGCCAUGUUUUUGCUUAGAUUCGUCAUUCUUUGACACGGCCCUCCCAGCGUGAUCAUUAGUGAUUGUGGUCGUCAGUUCGUUGCGGAUGCCAUCGAAGAACUGGUUUGUCUGUGAAAUUCACAGUUCCGCCAUUCCUCCCCGUAUCACCCUCAGACGAAUGGGCUGGUAGAACGUACGAAAAGAACUCUGACUGACAUGUUGGCCAUGUACGUAUCGUCUGACCACAAGGACUGGGACGACGUUCUCCCCUUCAUUACUUAUGCGUAUAACACGGCCAAACAUGAGACAACCAAUUACAGUCCUUUUUACCUCCUUUACGCACGUUCACCGUUCAGCUGCAUUGAUACUAUUCUACCACUUGACUUCCGUAGCGACUACUCUGUCUCCAAGACACUCUGCCUAGCCGAAGAAGCCCAGCGUAUUGCUCGUCUUCGUACUGUGGCUUCGCAACACCGAUCAAAGGAAAGCUAUGACAGCCGCCAUCAGUCUGUAGCAUACUGCAAAGGAGACUUUGUGUGGUUGUGGACGCCACAACGUAAACAGGGCCUAUGCGAAAAGUUUUUACCUCAGUACAGUGGCCCAUUCGUCAUUGUUGAUCGCUGCAGCGAUUCGAUAUACGUGGUAGCACGGCUGACAUCAGCUGGCCGUCGGUCAAACCGACCCAGCUGUCGCCCACCUUAAACGGUUUCACCCUCAACAUUCAGAAUGAUUCAUACUCACCCAGCGGGCUUCGUCUGGGAGCCGGGAAAUGCAACGGAUAUGAGCCGAGAGAGGAGAAGAGGAGGAAACCGUGAACUGGUGACAGAUACUGACGCCAUUACUACCGAACCAUCAACUUCGCCCUGCUAAUAAACACCCUUCGACUUUAACCGUAACAGUAUAGUUUUGGCCAAAGAACGCAUGAAGGCACUUGUUUACCAAACAUUUUGCUUAUUUCCUAAUUGAACAAAAGUAAUGUUCUCUUCAGACUAGUGCUACGCUUUUCUGUUGAGGAGUAAACCUGAUGCAGAGCCAAAUCAAUUUGAAGUUAUUGUAAUCAGAAGCACAUUAUGCCAUGUUUACGUAAACACUUUUUCUUUGCUCCAGGUUUUUGGUAACACUUGCACCACUUCUCGUGUGGCCUUGUUUGUUACAGCACUCUUGUAUUGUCUUGCAUUGGACUUGUCAUUCUUUAUUUUGCCUUUGAAGACGAAGUGGAGCUUUAUAAUGUGAUUCCUGUGAUCGAUAUCAAUGUUUUUACUCAUGUUUUGAUGCACAUCUGCUGGGCAGUCUGUAUUACCUGCAAAUAAAUCUUUGUCUUGAAAGGUAUUAGAGGGCCCCUUUGGAAAUUGGCUCUGCCCUUGCAAGAUAUGAAUAUUUUUGUGGCAUUUGUGUUUUUAAUGUUUGUAUUUUCGAGGUGUUUGAUUAUGUUACAUUGGUCUACUUCUCAAUAUGAGUGCAUGUUUGUUGUGAUUAGUUGCCUAAACACAGUGUUGCAAAAUAAUUUUGUAAGUGUUAUCACUGCCCCAAAUAAAACAGUGAGUUAGAUGUCAUG
Long non-coding RNA from Rhipicephalus microplus (southern cattle tick), 6249 nucleotides. NCBI's taxonomy places the organism in Eukaryota, Metazoa, Arthropoda, Arachnida, Ixodida, Ixodidae. The record is from RefSeq and is a predicted model, not a curated record.